ACUCAAAUUGCUAUUCACUGUCACUUUACUUGUUAAAGGAAAAAAAUAAAGACUGUUUCCAUGAGCCACAGGUAAAUUAAAUUUAAAUCAGUUCUAUGAUUAAGUUCUUGGAGAGAAACUGACUGUAGCAGCUUGUAUAUGCUCAUAUUUGUGGAAAGUCUACCUUCAAAUCAGAAAUAUGUCAACAUUAUUUUAGUGACAUGUUUUCCUUUUGAAAAGUUUCAUUUUUGUCAAAGUGAGUAAUAUAGAGAAACCUAAUAAAUGGAUUAAUUUAGGUCAUUAUUUGGGGAAAAUAGAUGUACUCUUUCACAUUAUGUUUCUCUGUGAGUUAUCACCCAUUUGUCUUUCCAAGGACAUGUUCUUCCUUCCACUAUUUACUUUUAAUUUCAAAGGAGAAAAAUAAUGGGUAAUGGGGGUUUUGAAUUAUUAUUUCACUUGAAAUGCUGAGACAGUAAUGAAAUAAAAUAUCCUAUGCAUCCUUCAAAAGCCAGACACUUGCUAUUGAAGGGGAAAUAAUUCCUCCCCCCAGGCCCUGUUCCACCCCAAAAAAGAAGAGAGAGAAAAAGAGAACAGGUGCAGUUAAUGGGCCAGACUAAAGUAUCAUGGGAGAUUUUCAAAGCCACAGAUCAAUUUAGCUGCACCACUUCCGAGGAAAAUAAAUGAGUGCUGUUUACUUGGGUUUUCUGCAGUUUGAAAUUAUCCUCUCCAAUGUAGGCUUUGGGGGAAAGUCUACUUGAAAUAAUUGCAGCCAUUUGGAAUUGACAUGGCAGCACCACCUCACAUGACAGGGGCGAAUGCCACUCACUCAUACACAGAUUUUCCAUAGACAACCAGAAGAGCAGAGAAUAUUGCCAAGCAUUGCCCGGGAAAAGCAGGAAUAGCCUUGCCUUACAAUUCCAUGCUUGAUUUUGCUACUUUUUCAAAAUUGUCUCAGAGUGGGGAACAAAGUCUGGGCAUUUGUCUCAGGCAGGCAAUUUUAUGUCUUCUUUUCCUUUGGUUUUAGCAGAACCUUUCUUCCUAUCUACACUCCCUGUUGUAUUUGUUUAUCUUAAAUUGUCCUAGAAAUUAUGAGUUUAUGAAAAUGUAACAUGUAUCUUGACUCUAUGAAAUUAAUAAAUUACUAAUUAAGUCUUUCAAUCCCACAUACCCCUGCUCCAAAUAUAUAUAUACACUUAGAUACAUAUGUUGAAUCUAUUAAAAAAAAGCUGUCAGGAACUUUGGAAUUAUACAAAAAAUUAGACAAAAUGGUACAUUUAGUACACCAUCUGCUUUAUUAAUGGGUAACUUACUCAUCUCUGGACCUACAUCACACUUUGUGCUGAUCCAAACACACACCCAAUUAAAUUAAAGGGAUUUUAUCUGUGAUCUUAUUUUAAAACCUUAGUUCUUUGCAAGGUCUACCAUUUUGUAAAGUCACUGUGGAAACACUGUUUAUUGAAGUGCUAAUGGCUUAUCCUAAUUUCCAUAAGGGAGCUUUUUUCCUUCAUGCAUUCUAACUUUAGUUGACCAUCAUCUUGUUUUAUAGUCAGUAUUUAAAAAUUGUUUUGGCAAAGUGGCUGAGUAAUCAAAAAUGCAAAUUACCUUUCUUGGACCAUUUUUUCCUUAUUUUUAUUUUUCAUGAAAUAUCUUUCAUGUUUUUUUCCUUACGUUCACCUAGUGCAGGUAAAUUCAAAGCAAGAACCACAUUAUUUCUUUUAUUCCAAUGACUCACUUCAGUUAGGAACAAAUUCUUUUGUGUUUGCUCUUCCUUCUAAGAUAAUAUCAUACACUAAAUUCCAACAUAUUUAAUCUUUUAAUGCAAAAUCAUAGAAAAAAAGAAUUAUUGAAAAUAACACAUAGGUAAUGGAGCAAGCUACUGUAGAGUCAUCUUCAGGUCUGGAUUCAUCUGUCUGUUUUUCUACAGAUUGGGGGGAUUUUUUUUUUCUACAUUUUUUUUUAAGACAGUUUUUAAUGCUUGAACAAAUCCCUUUUUCUUCCCUUUGGUAAUGUGGUUAACUGUCUGGAAUGUGAGCCACUGGAAAUUCUUCUCCACAGAAGAAUCUCCAUUAAGCUUUCAAACAGAGUUACUUCAUCCCCACAGCUGCAUGGAUAGAAGGCUUUCUAGCGCCUAAAUACUUACUGUAUAUGUCAUCCUUAAAUUUAUUUUUUUUUUUUUUCCCAGCCAGAGCUUUGGGAGCAGGUGUUAGCCUUUUGCUUCCUUUCUGCUUCCUCUGUGGGGAACGGGCUGGAAAGAGCCAACUAAUUAGAAAAUUCUACAGGGAAAUUAAUUCUGCAAACAGCUGAGGAAUGGCAUUUCAGUAUAAUGCUCACUUUGUCUGUCAGCAGAGCACUGGCUGGCUUCACGAGUGGCAGCUCUCCCAGAUGUUAAACAUGUUGUGAUGAGACCAGAACUGCAUCAUAUGUUGCCCGUUUACUAAAAGUCAUGGUGCUCUGGAAGAGUAAAUACAUUAAAACCAGCCUCUGGGACGUGCUGUGUUGUGUCACAAGGCAGCAGCAUAGGUUUUUUUACAUAUUCUUGAAGUGUAGCAAUGAACCAAAUCGUUUUUAGCCAGCUUAGUUCUGAAUGCUGCCUUUGCUUUCAUGUAGGGCUGGGGGCAUGGAGAAGGAGGGGCAAGGAGCCUCACUAAACCACCCUGUGUAAAGGCCUGGGUUGUCAAAGCCUGCUGUACACUUUGAAAAGAGCUGGGCAGCUCUGUGACAUGUCUGAGCAGAGCCCUCACUCACCCAGCUGGCUGCUCUCGUGCGCGUGGGGAGAGUCGGAUCCGCAUCCGUGGGCUUCCUGCUCCGGAGGCACCGGCGGCAGAAACACGCGGGCAGGGCUCUCUGAAGGAGCCUGUUCCGAGAUGUGCAUGGGAACAGCACCGAGUGAAGAUGAUGACAGACUACUCAUGUCCCAGAGGUCUCACCAGUACCUGCUUUGGUCACCUUAGUAUUUCUUACUUGUGGGCAAAGCCCCAAGCCACUUGCAUUACCUUAUGUGAUGUGCCUGGUUCUCAGUGCCCUUCUCGUGACAGACCUCUGUGACCCUCCAGCCCAGUGCUCCUCCCAGCCACAUUCCUCAUCUGUCCCUUCCAGAGCCCCCAAGUUUCCCUCCAGCUAACCUUGAGGAGCAGAAUUCCCAUGCACGUUGCUCCCAGAUUGACGUGGCAUCCCUUCCAUGAGCUGCCAGGAGGUGGCCCUGGGCUCUGUUUUAGCAUUCAGCUAUGCACGAGUGGCCCUCACGCUCCACAUGUCUGGGAAUUUGCCCUGGAUGGAACACUGGAAGAGUGACUUCUGAGUUCCCAUUGAGUAAAUACAGAACUGCUUUCUUAUCUUUUAAAUCUCAACAUGAUGUUGAAGCUUGGGGUGCUCUGAACACCUCUUUGUGGUGGUUCAUUUUUCAGGUGUCUUACCCUGCCUCAGUGGCUCUUGUACUCUUGAGCUCUCUUUUCUACUUUACCUCUAUAUCUAAAUGCUUUUCCUUCCUCUGUCUCCUAAGAACUAAUUUGUCUUAUCUAAGAAUAUAAAAAAUAGGACAUUCAUGCAAUUCCCAUGGAGAUAUGGUAUUUUUCUGCAGCUGAAGGCUUUCCAAAGCAUGUUUAUUUGUCUUAUAUUUGAUUGACUGUAGCAGGACUAGGUUUUUUUUUUUUCUUUUAUUUAUUUUUUUUUUAUUUCCAUUGUCUUGUACUUCACAAAUGCAGUAUAAUAAUCAUUCCAUAUUCUGUCUCAAUGGAAAAUCUCAUCACUCCAUAUUUUCUUAUCAGUCUGUUCUCUCCAGCAUAACUACAUUGCUUGAUAUGUUGCACAGUGUCGGGUUCAAGGACUGUUUUUAAUGGAAAAAUAUUAAUAUCUUUUCACUAGUCCAGUGUUAACAUGUAGAUGUUUUUUGAGAAUUAUUUGGUUAUAAACUUUAUUUAAAUAGAACCUUGUAAUUUUGGCCAUGCUUAUGUUGAUAUGUGAUUAUCUUCCAGCACAAAGAACUAACUAUAGGGCUUUGACUUGGAAAGAGUCAUUUUCACAGAUGAGGAUCAUGCUUGCAGAAGAAAAUAAUAGGAUUUCAUCUUUGUCUUUAAUAAAAAUCAAGCUAUUUUCUAUAUUUUCUAAAUUUACUUCAUCUGUUAACAAUUACAAUUUUCAUAAUGAGAUUUAAUUGCUUAAGAAACCAUUGAAAUUAUAUCCCAACUAAAUAUUAACAUCUUCUCCUCUUCUAAUUCACAAUUUGAAAACAUUCUUUGCAUCUUUUACUUGCUUUCUAUAGAUGUGUGCAUUAACAAAUUGGAAGGACUAUCCAUCAAAAAACAUCUAUCUCCAAAAGAGAUGUGCAUGGACUUUUGGAUGGGAGCAACUGGAAUUUAAAGUCUCUUUGCUCUAAUGUCACACACAGAAGAUUUAUUCUGCAGUCACAUUUUCUGAAUUAAUUGAAUUUUUAAUUUUGUGGUCCUAAAUGCAUCACUGCCUGGCAGUUUUCCAAAGUGCAUUGUGAUAUAAUGAUGCCUGCAUUAUGGAAGCUUGUCAAGUGGUCCGUGCUUAACAUGGGGACCUGUCUGCACUUAAAACAAGAACCAAAUGAAAUUAUUAAAUAUUAUUAUCACAUAUUCUUCCCAGAAUCACAUUUUUUAUUAGGGUGUGAUGAAUAAUUGCAGGAACAUUGGCAGCUGAAAUUUCUAAAGUGAUUGUCAAAUAGGAAAUAAAAUGGAAAAUGGGAAAUAAAAUGUGCUAUUUAUUGCAGGUCAAGAUAGAUUGCCUUUAAAUUCUACCUAGAUAAAAGUUCUUAGUGAUUUAAUUUUCUGUUUAGUAUCAUCCAGAUGUUCAAACUACUGACCCAGGUGGUGUGGAAAUUUCAUUUUUCCAGCUUAUGAUAGUGAAUUGAAUAAUAAAAAACAAUCAUAAAACAUCUCCAUAUUGCAUCCAUGGAGAUUCACUAGGAUGAUUUACACUAAAUGGAUUUUUACAUGGAAUGGGUUUCUUUUCCAAAGUUCAGCAAGAGUCAAGACUACAUCCGUACGUGUUUAGGAGCCAAAAAUUGUAAGUAAAGGAGAAAACACAUCUGUGUGUGGAAGUUUUUGAAUAAUUGCACUGUUUGUUUAAUGAUAUAGCUGAUGUUAUGAGUGCUCCUGGGGAGAACAGCAGAGCUGGAGCAGCAGGGAUAAGGAUGUUUUCCUUCAGGGAAAUGUGAAAUGCUUUGUUUUGUCCUAGUGUAUUCAAGAGAACUGCAUUUCCAUUUUGGCUUCAAGAGAUCUCCCCUUUUAAAAAGUGAAAUUCUCUUUCACAAAAUAAGGCUGGUUUAAGAAAUUAAAACUUUUAUUUAUUUACUUAUUUACACUUCAAAGCAAAGUAGUUUGCUCACCCAUUUUGGGAACAACUCUGCUUGCUGAAGCUGAUUGGAAUUUGCAAAGGGUUUUAGUAAGUCCAGGAUUUCAUUUUUCAGCCAAUUUUGUAUUCAUCAAGUAAUUUCAUUCAUCUCUAGCUAUGAUGUUUCGGUUGCAAGUUUGUUGGGUUUUUUAAUGUGUGUUUACCACCCAUAUUGCUAGAGUUAAUAAAUAAACACAAAUUGAUUUAUGACUUGUUUUGCUUGGACAAGUUUGUGAAUAGAAAUGUUGUAUAGCAUUUAAUUAAAUUCUUUCUUUCCUCCAAGGAUGCCACUAUCCAAAACAAAUUGAAAAUUUUGUUCAGAAAUUGUGCUCACACUCUGUAGCAUAAUGGAUACUCAUGAGAUAAACUGACAUCUGGGGUAGAUCUUCAUAAGAAUGGUUUCCAAAGUUCAGAAUGGAAACUUUUAAAUUUUCAAGCUGUCCUUAAGUUAUAAUAUAUGCCUGGCUUAGUAUUGCAUUUUAGUAUUUACAUAAAUUCUGUGUUUUGAAUAACAGAUGCACCUCAGCAGAUUGUAAACCUUUUCUUGAUACAUUUUGGCAGCAGCUGCAGGUCACAUCCCUUGCUGAAUUUCUAGAUUGUUCACCAAGGUCAACAUUCAUCAAGCAUUUUUUCUACUACACUUUAAAGAUUUUCCUCUCUCUGCUCUGGAAAUGCAAGUGUUAUUCUUUUCUCUGAAAUCCCACUAAUUUGUUAUUUGUAGGCAUGGCUUGGAGAGGAAGGAGGGAUGAGAAGACAGUGGGAGUGAGUCAUUAUUUUAUUGUAGUGACACUCUGGUGUUAUUCCAGCCAGUCACUUUUACCCCAUAGCUGCUGACUGCAGUGCUAUCCAUGGCAGAUGCUCAGAAAUGAAAAGCUACAUCUUUUUUUUGCUGCUGGUUAAUGUGAUGUAGCACAGAUGAGAAAUUAGGUUUAUAUAUUUACACCAACUUUAUCCUCUGACCAAAGAAUCUGACAGUUUAAAGCUGUGCCACUCUCCCAAAGGUGUGUGCAGGUUGGACAUGUGUCCAUCCUAUAUAUCAACAGUAUCCAGAAAUACAGGAACCUAACUGUGCUGAGGAUUCAUGUAAAGAUGUUAUUUAAACACCUGUAUUUUGUGGCCAGAAAAGCAUUCUGUUAAACUCACCUGAGGGUCUGCUGCCUCCAUAAGAGGAAUGUGUUGGAAUGGAUAAGGGGACCAGGUCAUGUCCCUCAUGUCUGAAAGAAAAAAAGUAAUGGCAUAUGAAUAAAAAACCAGAUAUUUUCAGAAAAGACCUUGAUAUUUUGGUCCUAAUUCAAUAAAUAUUUUUUUUACAUUCACAAAUACAUUAGGCCAGUGCUGGCUUCUUCUGGAAUUCCACCCUUAACACCAGCCUUCUUAAGGGCCAACCUGCUUGCCUUCUUUCCAAUGCUGAAAAAAUCCCUGAACUCUUGGCCCCUCAGCCCCAAAACAGAAGAAAAGAGGAUAGUUUGUGGUUUUUUAUUUGACAGUUUGGGGAUUUUUUUGGUAGGCCAUCUAGAAAAAAAUUCAAGCGGAAAUUAUAUGAACAUAAAAUUGUUUUUGACACAUUUGGCAAAUAGUAAUGUUUUUAAGAAGCCUGCUCUGAACCCUGUUGGGUAAGCAGCCACUUGCUCAGCUUGAGUAAAAGGAUUUCUUGCCAGAAAGCAGAAAGAAAAGAUCACCAGCUGGGGAUUCAUCCUUUCCACUCAUAUUUUCUUUGCCUGUGACUCCCAAAGUAUUUGGGGAAAUGGCAAUGUUGUUGUACUUUUACAACCAAAGCACAGGAGAUUAAAGUGAAGAUAUGAAAACACAAAUGCUUGAAAAGUUACAUUCCUGGAAAAGAGAGACACAGAGGAGCUGACAGAGAAAGCUGAUGCUCAGGAGUACCCUAAGAACCUUCAGAGGGCUGAUAUUUAUGGAAAACAAAGCACUUUCUUAGGAGUCUAAAUUACACACUAAGCAAUGGCCCCAAACUUUUAUUACAUUCUAGGAAAAGAUCAGGAAAAAGAACAUAAAAUACUCAGAGUUAUCUGUACUAAAUAUUAGACUGUAUAUUAUAUCCUGUCUUUAAUGUUGUGGAGAAAACCCGAAUGGUCUGAAUUACUAUCAUUUUUUAAAAACUAGAAACAUAAUCUGGGAAGAGGUUUUUAUGCUGGGCUGCUUUUUAGCUGGGUUGUUUCUGAGGAAUUAAAAAGAGCUGAAAAUCUCAUAUUUGGCAUUGCAUAAUCAAUGGUUCAAUGACUGACCAAAUACCCAUCAUUCUCUUCCAUUCAUUAGAUUAUGCCAUACACAGUCAGGUGGCAUUUGUCCAGAAGCUGACAUGUCCUUUCAUUGCUAAAAAACUUGGUUUGGAAUGGAAUGGAGUCAAGCACAGGAAGGAAAUGAUUAUGGAAACUGUAAGAAUUUGAGACCUCAGCUAUCUUCAGACACAGCAAAACAUUUCCUCCUGUUAUCGGCAGUCAUAAAAACGUAGAGAUGUUGCAACCCAAGUACCCAAGUGAAGGCAAAGCUCCAUCUGAGAAUGCCUUGGGUUCCAGAAGGUUCAGGUUCACAGCAUGAACUUAGAGACUGGCUGUUGAGAAGACACUGGCUGGGUAACUGAAAGCUCAGAAAAGAUGCUGCAGGAAGACUUUAAAACAAGAAUAAAUAUGGAAGUUGUUCCAGAGGGUGGGACAGGUCUUCUGUUUGUCUGGUACUAGAGGCACUUUUGUGGGUAUGUGAUUUGUCAGCGUUAUAAAAUGAUGGAAUCAUAAUGGCCUUAUCCAUCUCCUACCAAGAAAUUAGCAGCACUAAUAAACUUAAUCCUCAGUGCUCUCAUAACAGUAUUUCCAAGGGCUGUUUCAGAAAAUAUAAACACAUUAAAGAAUAGCCAGAAACCCAAUCUGCUCAGCAAUCACUGAUUUCUCAGUUGUGUGUUGAAGACAUAGCAACCCAAAUUACCCUUGAAAUGACUCUAUUUAUUUCAAGUCAUACCCUUUUCCCAGCUGUAUUUUUAGACAACUUCAUACUAGUAGUACAAGAGCUUGUUCCAGACAAGGACUUAACUUAGGUUUAUGUUAACAUAUAAUUUGUAAAAGUUUGCAAUAAACAUCCUUCUCUGACACUGGCAGAAACUGUAGGAAGGAAAACACCGCCACUAACUUUGGCUACUUGCUUUGAUUCAAACCUCAUUGUGUGAUGUUUGUUAUGAGAGCUCCAAAACUGCACAGAAGUGAUGAAUUGUUGUGUCACUGAGACCAGAAUUUCCAAAGCAGCCUCGUCUUUUUAGAUUUUGGCUUCCAACAAAAAUAUUCACCAGAGGCCUGGUGUUGGAUCGGGAAGUGUGCUAGCAGGCUUUCAUUCAGAUAGCAAGAAAUAUGCAAUGCAUGAUUCAAGACCUUAGGCCUCAGCUGGCAUCCCAUAAUGCACUCCCUGAAGCUGAUGAAAUGUUAGGGUGUACAGGAAGUGCCAGCUGAAGUCUUACAAAUAAACACUUAGUGAAUAUUUAUGUAGAUACGGUAAACAGAAAAGGAAAGUGCCAGUGUGCACAUGCUGCUGGUCACUCUGAAACUGCUGCUCUGCACAGGCCAGUUUUUAUAUCCUUCAAAAUAACAGGACCAUCAUUAUUUUUCCAAUGCUGAGUGAGUUUCCCCUCUGUUAAUCACACAGAGUAAAAGCAGGUCUGUAAUCUCAGUUCAGCUGCAUUUGGAAACAAGUCUUGUUUGUAAAGAUGGAAGGAAACUAGGCAGGAAUCUAUUUCUCUGCAGAGGCAUUCAGUUUUUCCAUGGUCAGUCUUUUCUCCACACUGACCAGAUUCUCUGCACUGGGUAAAGUUUUGGAUUCCUUUAAAAUACCUGUUUAUCAUUGAUACAAUUCAGGAUGCAUCAAUGACUUUGAAAGGGUGUUCUAGAAACUGCUGUGAUAUUGCAGUCUGUGUGUGUUCUGUUUUAUUAUUUAAAUCAUGCAGUUGUUCUGGUCAAAAUUGCUUGUGAUGUUCUUUGAGACAUUGAGCAAGCUCAUAAUGGGAAAAUCCAUUUCUCUGAAAUGCCAGCACUUUAAAUAAUUUAAAGCUAUUCUCCUGUUCUAUCAAAAGGAAGUUUAAUCUAUUACUUAUCUGUUCAGGAAGAUACUGUUCAAAGGUAUUGGACUAUCUUGAAUUAAGAAGGAAAAAAAGUUGUUGGAAUAAAUUAAACAUUUCCAUAUAAUAAAUGGUGGCAAUUUAAUAAUUAGUGAGAAGCCUUGUGUUUAUAGAUUUUUUGUAACAUGGCAUAUGAAUAAUGAAAACAGAAGGUUGUUUAUUCAGCAUAUAAAAGCCAAUUUUAGAGGAAUAACAGAUGGUGAAUGCCAGAGCCAGAAGAGAGUGAAUAAUUUUUAAA
Long non-coding RNA from Melospiza melodia melodia, 9683 nucleotides. RefSeq lists it as uncharacterized. NCBI's taxonomy places the organism in Eukaryota, Metazoa, Chordata, Aves, Passeriformes, Passerellidae. The record is from RefSeq and is a predicted model, not a curated record. The transcript is spliced from 3 exons.